RNAcentral lists this ribosomal RNA (419 nucleotides) under uncultured bacterium. RNAcentral's name for it is "bacterial SSU rRNA". It matches the Rfam family "Bacterial small subunit ribosomal RNA", at positions 355 to 787 of the family's 1533-position model. The record is from RNAcentral.
UGGGGAAUAUUGGGGCAAUGGGGGAAACCCUGACCCAGCAACGCCGCGUGAAGGAAGAAGGCCUUCGGGUUGUAAACUUCUUUUAGCAGGGACGAAGGACGUGACGGUACCUGCAGAAAAAGCAACGGCUAACUACGUGCCAGCAGCCGCGGUAAUACGUAGGUUGCGAGCGUUGUCCGGAAUUACUGGGUGUAAAGGGCGUGUAGGCGGAGCUGCAAGUCAGAUGUGAAAUGUCAUGGCUCAACCAUGGAACUGCAUUUGAAACUGUGGCCCUUGAGUAUCGGAGAGGCAAGCGGAAUUCCUAGUGUAGCGGUGAAAUGCGUAGAUAUUAGGAGGAACACCAGUGGCGAAGGCGGCUUGCUGGACGACAACUGACGCUGAGGCGCGAAAGCGUGGGGAGCAAACAGGGUUAGAUACCC